This is a long non-coding RNA of Paramacrobiotus metropolitanus, 762 nucleotides long. RefSeq lists it as uncharacterized. NCBI's taxonomy places the organism in Eukaryota, Metazoa, Tardigrada, Eutardigrada, Parachela, Macrobiotidae. The record is from RefSeq and is a predicted model, not a curated record. The transcript is spliced from 2 exons.
GUUUUUUAAUGCUUUGCAUUUGUACUUCUAUAUAAGAAGUUUAGGUGCAGGAGUGAAGUUUGCAGGUUUGCUUGGAAUUAGAGAUGCUUCGUAGCGAGUAUUACAAAGUCUCCAGUGCUCCACCGUCCAGUUACACAUCUUUGAGAAGUGAGCUAAUUUGGUUUCCAUAAAUUGCAGUCUGCAGACGCUACCUGGAAUGAAAAGAAUCGUCCUCUUGUUGAUCGGUCUGGCCGUGCUGGCUACGGCCGUGGCGCACUACGUUCCCGGGAUUCCGCUCGACCAGCUAGAAGCGCACGGUUAUCAACCGGACGAGACGCAGCCGGGUCGCUACAAGCGCCAAGUUCCGGCGGAUCCUCGACGGGCACUGGCACCCGGCACCGGCGUCGCCGCACCCACAAAGCCUCCAACCACUGUUAUCGUCGCGACAUCUGGCGAUUGUUGCUGCGUUAUUAUAAUAAAUGGAAAUAGCGUGUGUGUUAUUUGCGUCUGUCAAGGAUAACAUAUGGGUCAACUAAGCACCAAUUUGCACAUAGAAGUAGUAACAGUUACUUACAUUACCCAAUUGCAACUGUCAGAUGUCACCGCUGUAAAAUUUCUAAACUAAGCGGACAUGUACGUACAGUUCUUUAAGUUGUGCAUCAAGUGUCACUGCUUUUUACGAAUGUCCGUCUGACCGUUACAAAAGAUUUUAAAUUGUUUUUCCAGCUUUCGCGACAAUUGGCGAGAACGUCGAAAAGAUUAAAGCUUCUGAAGUAAUAAUAA